AUCCGGAGGAUCCGAGCGUUAUCCGGAUUUAUUGGGUUUAAAGGGCGCGCAGGCGGCCAUUUAAGUCAGCGGUUAAAUCGUGGGGCUCAAACCCAUUCUGCCGUUGAUACUGGGUGGCUUGAUUGCGGUCGAGGUUGGCGGAAUUCGUUGUGCAGCGGUGAAAUGCAUAGAUAUGACGAAGAACACCGAUUGCGUAGGCAGCUGACCAGAUCGCAAAUGACGCUCAUGCACGAAAGUGCGGGGAUCGAACAGGAUUAGAUACCCUGGUAGUCCGCACAGUAAACGAUGAAUACUUGUUUUCGGCGAUAUAAUGUCGGAGGCAAAGCGAAAGCGAUAAGUAUUCCACCUGGGGAGUACGCCGGCAACGGUGAAACUCAAAUGAAUUGACGGGG
RNAcentral lists this ribosomal RNA (392 nucleotides) under uncultured bacterium. Its description in RNAcentral is "partial 16S ribosomal RNA". It matches the Rfam family "Bacterial small subunit ribosomal RNA", at positions 523 to 918 of the family's 1533-position model. The record is from RNAcentral.